RNAcentral lists this ribosomal RNA (434 nucleotides) under uncultured bacterium. RNAcentral describes it as "bacterial SSU rRNA". It matches the Rfam family "Bacterial small subunit ribosomal RNA", at positions 471 to 902 of the family's 1533-position model. The record is from RNAcentral.
GACGGUACCUGCAGAAAAAGCACCGGCUAACUACGUGCCAGCAGCCGCGGUAAUACGUAGGGUGCAAGCGUUGUCCGGAAUUAUUGGGCGUAAAGAGCUCGUAGGCGGUUUGUCGCGUCUGCUGUGAAAAUCCAAGGCUCAACCUUGGACCUGCAGUGGGUACGGGCAGACUAGAGUGCGGUAGGGGAGAUGGGAAUUCCUGGUGUAGCGGUGGAAUGCGCAGAUAUCAGGAGGAACACCAAUGGCGAAGGCACAUCUCUGGGCCGUAACUGACGCUGAGGAGCGAAAGCGUGGGGAGCGAACAGGAUUAGAUACCCUGGUAGUCCACGCCGUAAACGGUGGGUGCUAGUUGUGGGCCACAUUCCACGUGGUCCGUGACGAAGUUAACACAUUAAGCACCCCGCCUGGGGAGUACGGUCGCAAGACUAAAACUC